This 179-nucleotide transfer-messenger RNA is filed under the name Muribaculaceae bacterium. RNAcentral describes it as "partial transfer-messenger RNA". It matches the Rfam family "transfer-messenger RNA", at positions 1 to 186 of the family's 374-position model. Rfam says of the family: Bacterial tmRNA, also known as 10Sa RNA or SsrA, is named for its dual tRNA and mRNA-like properties. Its role is to liberate the mRNA from a stalled ribosome. Lineage: Bacteria; Pseudomonadati; Bacteroidota; Bacteroidia; Bacteroidales; Muribaculaceae. The record is from RNAcentral.
GGGGAUGACCGGUUUUGACAGCGUGUAGAAGUGGUACGUAAGCAUGCAGAGCGAUGAUGCCCACGCUCUUUAAUCAGAGACAUCAAAAAUUUAAAUGGCGAAAAUAACUACGCUCUUGCUGCCUAAUCGAAGUACAGUAGAUUGCGCUUAAUCUCAGCAACAGUUGCAGAGACAAGACA